UUAGCUGUAAAAUAUUAACCUACACCCCAACCACCCGGGAAUUACGAGCCCAAGCUUAAAACCCAAAGGACUUGACGGUGUCCUAUCCCCCCUAGAGGAGCCUGUUCUAUAAUCGAUUCCCCCCGAUCUACCUCACCACUUCUUGACCCACCACCCAGCCUGUAUACCUCCGUCGCAAGCUUACCGUGUGAGCGCACCCAGUGAGCUAAAAGAUAUUUCACCCAUACGUCAGGUCAAGGUGCAGCCUACGAAGCGGAAAGAAAUGGGCUACAAUCUCUACUUUAGAACAAACGGAAAACUGUGUAAAACACAGUUACUGAAGGCGGAUUUAGUAGUAAAAAGAAAAUAGAGUGUUCUUUUUAACCAGGCACUGGGACGCGUACACACCGCCCGUCACCCUCUUCAAACAAAUCAAAAAGUUACUAACACCACUUAAUCAUACAGAAGAGGCAAGUCGUAACAUGGUAAGCGUACUGGAAAGUGCACUUGGAACAAAAUGUAGCUUAACUAAAAGCAUCUUGCUUACACCAAGAAUAUGCCUGCAAAACCCUGACCAUUUUGAGCUUAACUUACAGCCCCCCCCAUAAUAUAAUCUUCUUUUCCCAUAAUAAACUAACUAAAACAUUUUCUUAGUCAAGUAAAGGCGAUCAAAAAACUUCUAGGAGCCCCAACAACAGUACCGCAAGGGAAUUAUGAAAUAAAAAUGAAAUAAAUUUAAAGCACUAUAAAGUAGAGAACCCCCUCGUAC
This 748-nucleotide ribosomal RNA is filed under the name Choerophryne rostellifer (Torricelli mountain frog). RNAcentral's name for it is "partial 12S ribosomal RNA". The stretch from base 1 to 502 matches the Rfam family "Bacterial small subunit ribosomal RNA", at positions 796 to 1533 of the family's 1533-position model. The record is from RNAcentral. Lineage: Eukaryota; Metazoa; Chordata; Amphibia; Anura; Microhylidae.